CUGGAUUCUCCAGCUGGGCCCAAUGGAAUCAGAAGAGUCCUUCUAAGUGAAGGAGGGAGGCAGGAGAAUCAGAGUCAGAGUGAUGCAUCGUGGGAAACACUUGACUGUCCAUUGCUAGCUUUGAAGAUGGAGGGAGGGGCCAUGAGUGGAGGAAUGCUGGCCUCUAGAAGCUGGAAAUGGCCGAGAAGUGGAUUCUCCAGAGGGAACACAGCCGUGCUGACACCUUGAUUUUAGCCUGCCACCUCUGCCAACAAGAAGACCUGUGUUAACAAUUAUGAGCUCCUCAAGACCAUUGGAAAGGGUAUCUUCUCCAGCGCGAAGUUGGCCUGGCACAUCCCAACCGUGACAGAGGUGGCUGUUAAAGUCAUUCGCAAGACUUGACACAGCCUCACCAGAAUCAGGGAACUUUUCCGUGAAGUCCACAGCCUGAAGGCCUUGAGUCACCCCCAUAUUGUAAGGUUGUUUGAGGUGAUUGACACGGAGGAAACAUUGUUCUUCGUCCUGGAGGACGUUAGUGGAGGAGACACACUCAAUUACUUAUGAAACCACGGCGGCGUGCUGGAGGAAGAGGCCCAAGGAAAAUUCCGGCAGCUCGGCUCGGCUCUCCGAUACUGCCACCACAGAGGCAUUGUCCACAGGGGCCUGAGCCUGGAGAACCUGCCUCUGGAUGCUGAACUGAAUGUGAAGCUGGCGGACUUCAGCCUCAGCAACGUGUUCGUCGGGUGCAAGCUGAGCGCGUACUGCAGUGGCCUGGUUAUACUGCCUGGAGACCUUCCAGGGCCCAGGCUAUACAGUCCCCCGGCUGAUAUCUGGAACCUUGGCGUUAUUCUUUACGUUAUAGUCACUGGGUCCCACCUAUCCUGGGAGAGGACAUCUGCACAGUGCAGCAGCUGGUGCUGAGCCAGCGAUACCCGCUUCCCAUGUUCCUUUCACUGGAAUGCAGAAGGCUCUUGAAAGAACUGAUGACCCUUGACCCCAGCAAGAAAAGGAGUUUAAAAGAUGUCCUGGAGGACCUGUGGGUCAAUAUGGGCCAGGAGAGACUCAGGCCUUACCAGGAGCUGCCCUGUGACAACAGGGACUCCUGGGUGACACAGGUAAUGAUGAACAUGGGCUUUGAGUGGGACAAGAUCCAGGAUUCCUUAACAAGAAGGAGGUAUGACGAUGUUACGUCCACGUGCCUGAUGCUUAGUUCCAAGAAACCCCGGGUGGAGGGUCACACCGUCACUGUAAGGUCAUUGACCCCAACAGCUGCAGCUCUUCCCAGACCUGCACGGUGCAUCUGAAGGCCUUUGCACUCCCAGGAAGACGUGAUCACAGCGAACAUGGUUUUCGCAUCUGGCUCUGCAAGGCAGAAAAUCAGCAGCCUGGGGAGAAACAGGGGUCAGGGCCAAAGGCCAAAGAGCCUGCCAGUACCCCGGCCAGCCUGGAGUCGAGAACUGCCACCCCCAGCCCAACCCUCCAGAACGGCCCUGGGGCCUUCCCCUCCACCCACAGCACCAGCAACAGUAGUGGCGGCCCAGCGGAAAGCAACUGCCCCCAGGGUGUGUCCUGCAGUGGAACCUUCCUGCACGCUGGGCAGCGUGCUGGGGCGACCCCAGCCUCUCCCUCUGGCCCCAGCCAGGGCCCAAGGAGGUCCGCUGGUAGAUUCUUAAACUUUAUAAGACGCUUCUGUUUCUGUGUGCCCAGCAAGAACCGGCAUGGCAAACACAAUAGAGUGAAGCCAAUUUGAUCUCAUGGCAGGGUCCAAAUCAAAGAUGGUGGGGAGGUCAAGCCAAACCCCUGCGUUUUAAAUGGAGAGCAAGAUGCCGAGCUCCACAGGCUGGCACAGUGGCGAGGGAGUUUGGCCAGAGGUGAGAUGCAUUCAGCUGUGAGCGGGAGCAGUGCGAGAAGCACACGCCAUAUGUGCGCGGACAUCCAGGUGAGAGGAUUUGGUCCAGCAGACGAUGGAGGUGUGCAAGCUGCUGCAGCCUCCUCCACACGGGAUUCACAUCAGAAUGGCAUCUGGCAUCUCCAUGGCCUUCAGAAGCAUAUAUCCAAGAUACUUGGUGAACUUCGAGGACGGCCUGGAGGUGCCUGGGGACACGAGGAGAGGCCACCUCGCUGCAGGUGUGCCCCUUGGCCCCAACCUGGGUGAAACUUCAGAGGCUGGGCUGCUUUUCCUCGGGCACUUCUUCCCUCUCCUGUCCCCUCCAUCUCUUCUUCCAUGUUUGUAGGGUAGAGGGACAGUUCUGGUAAAGUCCUUGGUCUUCCAAGUCUUGUAAUCAACUGGAUGCUCCAGAAAGGUGUGUCACAGUUACUUUUGCAUUCUCCCUACACAGAAAUGGGGCCGUGCAUGCUCCAGUUUGAGAAGUGUGUAGUGAUGUAGUACUUGGAGUUAAUCAGAACGACAAAGUGGAAAAAUGACUUAGAAUUAUUAUGGUAACUCUCAGCAGCAAUGAAUGUGGUUCUGAAGGGAAAAGGCUGGGAGCCAUGGUGCAGGGCAGAAAGGGAGAAACUGUGUACUAACGUUACCUAACAUUUCCAGAAGGACCGAGGGAAACUUCCGAUCCUGUGGCCUUUAUUAUCUACAACCAAGAGGUCCAUGAUAGGGGAACCAAGCCCCGUGAGCCAGCCUGUGUGGGGAGCCAGAGAAGUGGCACGGGUGUGGGCCCAAAAAGCAGCCUCAGGUCACUUCCAGGUGAGACGCUGCCACAGCGUGGCUUGAUGAGCGGUGUGUAGGUCCACAUCAGGGAUCCAAACCCACAAACCCUGGACCACUGAAGCAGAGCGCACAAAUUUAACUGCUAUGCCACUCAGCCGGCCCCCAGAAUAUUUUUAAUAGACAGUGACAGAAAACCCAAAGUGGCUUGAACAAGCAAACAGCAAAGCAGGAGAGAAUGAUUUAUGUAACUAAGAAGUCUAAAGGCAGACAGCUUCAGGCAAGGCUGUACCUGGGUGCUUGAUGCCGUCAGCAGGAAUCGGCUCUCCCAGCCUCUUGGCUUGGCUUCCUCCCCUCUGUACUGGUGUCCUUCUCAAGUGGUUUUUCCGUUGAUGAAAGAAGAUGGCCACCACCGGUCACAGGCCUCAACAGCCCAACGGAAAUAGAACUUCUCUUCCCCAGGAUUCCAAACCUAAGUGCUCCCUGUUCCCCAGGUGGGGGAUGGUGUGGUGCCUGGGAGAGCAGGGCCAAGGGUCCAGCCACCAUGCUCCUCUCUACCUGAUUUCCUGGGAUGAGCCUACUCCCAUGGGCUUCCCGCUCCCCACUGAUUUCUCCUUACAAAGGAUUCACGGCCGCGCUUCUUCCCUCCCUCGCCUCCUUUCCAAGCCCCGCUUCACUGGUAGCAAAGAGGAGCAGGACUUCCUGUUGGAAGACAGGAUUUGGGGUCCACUCCCAGCUUCACGGUCUGCUUUUUGUGUCCCAUAAUAAUCACUUAUUCAGUCCACAAAUGUCUGCUGAGCACCUACUGUGUGCUACUCUGAGUUUCCAAGGCUGUUAGUUGUUCCAGGCAGGGGCCAUCGCCCAGGAGCCUUCCGAAAGAAAUGAGUUCUGUCCA
This 3533-nucleotide long non-coding RNA is filed under the name Equus caballus (horse). Its description in RNAcentral is "lncRNA (ENSECAG00000049058.1)". Lineage: Eukaryota; Metazoa; Chordata; Mammalia; Perissodactyla; Equidae. The record is from RNAcentral.